Molecule: long non-coding RNA, 719 nt
Filed under: Homo sapiens (human)
Lineage: Eukaryota; Metazoa; Chordata; Mammalia; Primates; Hominidae
Description: HSALNT0404764
Source: RNAcentral
GCCGGCUUUGUGGCCUCCCAGGCUUCGCCCUGGCCCCUGUCCGGGCUGGACGGAGGCCGGACCACGGUUCCUGGCGCCUGUGCAGAGAGGGGCAGCCUCCCGCGCGGACGACCCUGGAAACAGGAUAGAUGGGCGGGUGACCCGUGGCCCCGUACCCACGAGUUUCGGUCCCCUGAGGCAUCUCUCCAGGCCUCUGCCUGUAAGAAGAAAAAGAGGAAAGAUAAGAAGAGAAAAAGAGAAGAAGAUGAAGAAACCCAGUUUGAUAUGUUGAUUAGAUCCUGUGCUGAAAGAGAAACCAAGAAAAAAGAUGACAUUCCAGAAGAAUACAAAGGAAAUGUAAAACAAUGUGAAAUCAAUUAUGUAAAGAAAUUUCAGAGCUUCCAAGACCAAAAACUUAAAAUAAGUAAAGAAGAGAGUAAAAUUCUUAAAAAAGGCUCAGAAAGAUGGAUUUUUGCAUGAGACGCUUCUGGACAGAGAACCAAAUUGAAAGCCAACAGAUACUGCAAAUGACUGGAAUUUUUGUUUCUGCCUUAUCUUUUUGUGUUUUUUUUCUGAAUAAAAUAUUCAGAGGAAAUGCUUUUACAGAGUUCUUGAGUUGUUGUGAAAUUAUUAUUUAGCUAGUACCUAGUUUAACCAGGAUUAAACAAGUUUAAUCAGGAUUCUUCAUGGAUGUACUUUUUAGCUAACUACAGUUUUUCACAUGGAAAUGAAACUUACAG